This 711-nucleotide ribosomal RNA is filed under the name uncultured Serratia sp. RNAcentral describes it as "bacterial SSU rRNA". It matches the Rfam family "Bacterial small subunit ribosomal RNA", at positions 768 to 1479 of the family's 1533-position model. The record is from RNAcentral. Lineage: Bacteria; Pseudomonadati; Pseudomonadota; Gammaproteobacteria; Enterobacterales; Yersiniaceae.
GCAAACGGGAUUAGAUACCCUGGUAGUCCACGCUGUAAACGAUGUCGAUUUGGAGGUUGUGCCCUUGAGGCGUGGCUUCCGGAGCUAACGCGUUAAAUCGACCGCCUGGGGAGUACGGCCGCAAGGUUAAAACUCAAAUGAAUUGACGGGGGCCCGCACAAGCGGUGGAGCAUGUGGUUUAAUUCGAUGCAACGCGAAGAACCUUACCUACUCUUGACAUCCAGAGAACUUAGCAGAGAUGCUUUGGUGCCCUCGGGAACUCUGAGACAGGUGCUGCAUGGCUGUCGUCAGCUCGUGUUGUGAAAUGUUGGGUUAAGUCCCGCAACGAGCGCAACCCUUAUCCUUUGUUGCCAGCGGUUCGGCCGGGAACUCAAAGGAGACUGCCAGUGAUAAACUGGAGGAAGGUGGGGAUGACGUCAAGUCAUCAUGGCCCUUACGAGUAGGGCUACACACGUGCUACAAUGGCAUAUACAAAGAGAAGCGACCUCGCGAGAGCAAGCGGACCUCAUAAAGUAUGUCGUAGUCCGGAUUGGAGUCUGCAACUCGACUCCAUGAAGUCGGAAUCGCUAGUAAUCGUAGAUCAGAAUGCUACGGUGAAUACGUUCCCGGGCCUUGUACACACCGCCCGUCACACCAUGGGAGUGGGUUGCAAAAGAAGUAGGUAGCUUAACCUUCGGGAGGGCGCUUACCACUUUGUGAUUCAUGACUGGG